CAGGUGUGUGGCAGGAUACGUGGAAUGGUGAGGCGGGCAGGUGUUGAGUGGGUGUACCUCUAUAUUGCCGCCAGGUGUCUCUGCUGACGCACUGCAGGGAAUUGUGUGGGAAGAUCAUCGGGGCUUAGAAACACGGACGAUGUAAAUUGAAACAGAAUAAAGGGAGAGGAAGGAGAAAUGAUAAAAACGUAACUCGGACAACAAAAGAACAAGAAGAACAAAUGGAGAGAUGACACGAAGGAUUAAAGAAGAGAAAGAGAGAGAAAAAAAUGAUGAUAAUAACAUACUUGAGUGAUGAAACUAAGUGUUAAUAUAAGAGAUCACACACACACACACACACACACACACACACACACACACACACGGAAAUAUAUAUGAAGAUAAAUAAUAAAUGAAUAAAUAAAUAAAUAAAUAAG
Portunus trituberculatus (swimming crab) is the source of this 416-nucleotide long non-coding RNA. RefSeq lists it as uncharacterized. The transcript is spliced from 2 exons. Lineage: Eukaryota; Metazoa; Arthropoda; Malacostraca; Decapoda; Portunidae. The record is from RefSeq and is a predicted model, not a curated record.